GUACCAUUGGUCUAGUGGUAGUAUAGUAAUCUGCCACGGUAUAGAUCCGGGUUUGAUUCCUGGCUGGUGCA
This 71-nucleotide transfer RNA is filed under the name Helianthus annuus (common sunflower). It matches the Rfam family "tRNA". From Rfam's summary of the family: Transfer RNA (tRNA) molecules are approximately 80 nucleotides in length. Their secondary structure includes four short double-helical elements and three loops (D, anti-codon, and T loops). The record is from Rfam by way of RNAcentral. Lineage: Eukaryota; Viridiplantae; Streptophyta; Magnoliopsida; Asterales; Asteraceae.